Molecule: ribosomal RNA, 328 nt
Filed under: uncultured Peptoniphilus sp.
Lineage: Bacteria; Bacillati; Bacillota; Tissierellia; Tissierellales; Peptoniphilaceae
Description: bacterial SSU rRNA
Rfam family: Bacterial small subunit ribosomal RNA
Source: RNAcentral
GACGAACGCUGGCGGCGCGCUUAACACAUGCAAGUCGAGCGAUGAAAUCUUAACAGAACCCUUCGGGGUGAAGAUAAGACGGAUUAGCGGCGGACGGGUGAGUAACACGUGAGUAACCUGCCUUUUACACAGGGAUAGCCUCGGGAAACCGGGAAUUAAAACCUGAUGAAACUAUCAAAUCACAUGAUUAAGAAAGUUAAAACUCCGGUGGUAAAAGAUGGACUCGCGUCCCAUUAGCUAGUUGGUGAAGGUAACGGCCCACCAAGGCAACGAUGGGUAGCCGGCCUGAGAGGGUGAACGGCCACAUUGGAACUGAGAAACGGUCCAA